This is a long non-coding RNA of Rhipicephalus sanguineus (brown dog tick), 689 nucleotides long. RefSeq lists it as uncharacterized. The record is from RefSeq and is a predicted model, not a curated record. The transcript is spliced from 4 exons. Lineage: Eukaryota; Metazoa; Arthropoda; Arachnida; Ixodida; Ixodidae.
CACAUGUGCUCUGCAGUGACAUAUUACCGUGUUGAUAGAUAUUGUGUGCGUUUAUUGUGUGCUUAUCGUACUUCACAUUCGUCGACUGGAUAUUUUGCGCGUUUCGGAACGUCCUCCCGCAUUGAUCAAGUGGGGGAUGAUGCAUCGUCGUUCGUCGCCACUCAGAACAGCCUCAUCGGACGCGCAGCUUUGUCUCCGCGCUCAAAAAUGCUUUCUUGCUUCGUUUAUCGAUUACCCACGUUAAUCGCGUGAUUCAAUAUCGAGUGUACCUCCAAAGACAAUCCACUUCCCAGUGUUGUGACAAGCGGCGACCGCGGUUGUACAGGAGCGGAAGCGUGAGCCUUUUGACGAGCGACUGUGAAGAAUGCAAAGCCAGUGCCAAACUUCGGAAUCGAUAGCACGGGCGGCGUGUUGGCACAGCGAGGAUGAGAACGAGAGACCCGAUAGACAGCGAUGACAGCUGUUCACGGCACCGACACAGAGGACAUAUUGCAGUGCAAGAUAGGAGCGGUCUUCCUGCAAGCCCAGACAAGCCAUAUUGAGUGGUUUCAAAUACAGCAACUGUACCACCACGACAGUGCAGCACAAGAGACCCUAUCGUCAGUGCUGAGCCAGAAAUUAAAUAGAAAAGCGCUUUCUCCUGAAAUCUUUCGUCUGGUCUUAUUUCGUUUGUUUGUGAUUGUAAAAGA